Molecule: ribosomal RNA, 492 nt
Filed under: uncultured bacterium
Lineage: Bacteria
Description: partial 16S ribosomal RNA
Rfam family: Bacterial small subunit ribosomal RNA
Source: RNAcentral
AGUGAACGCUGGCGGUAGGCCUAACACAUGCAAGUCGAACGGCAGCACAGUAAGAGCUUGCUCUUACGGGUGGCGAGUGGCGGACGGGUGAGGAAUACAUCGGAAUCUACUUUUUCGUGGGGGAUAACGUAGGGAAACUUACGCUAAUACCGCAUACGACCUACGGGUGAAAGCAGGGGAUCUUCGGACCUUGCGCGAUUGAAUGAGCCGAUGUCGGAUUAGCUAGUUGGCGGGGUAAAGGCCCACCAAGGCGACGAUCCGUAGCUGGUCUGAGAGGAUGAUCAGCCACACUGGAACUGAGACACGGUCCAGACUCCUACGGGAGGCAGCAGUGGGGAAUAUUGGACAAUGGGCGGAAGCCUGAUCCAGCCAGACCGCGUGGGUGAAGAAGGCCUUCGGGUUGUAAAGCCCUUUUGUUGGGAAAGAAAAGCAGCAGGUUAAUACCCCGCUGUUCUGACGGUACCCAAAGAAUAAGCACCGGCUAACUUCGUG